This is a long non-coding RNA of Leopardus geoffroyi (Geoffroy's cat), 489 nucleotides long. RefSeq lists it as uncharacterized. The record is from RefSeq and is a predicted model, not a curated record. NCBI's taxonomy places the organism in Eukaryota, Metazoa, Chordata, Mammalia, Carnivora, Felidae. The transcript is spliced from 2 exons.
CUGCAGCCCCUUUGCUGGAGCCUGGUGGACCCAGUUCAUGCUGGAACUACUGAAGGUGAAUCCAGAGGCUACACCGUUGACUUCAUGUCCAGCUGAGUGUGAGGAAGGUCUGGGCCUCAUGUUCUGUGGAGUGGCAGGUGCAGAGACAGGUGGAUCCAGUGGAUGAUUCCUUAACUACUUCAGUAGAAUGGACCCCUGGCUGACCGUUUUGUAAGACUUGACUCAGUGUGCCUCCCCACUGGUUGUCUCUGGCUUCCUGAACUGGAUGGAGAACAAAAGGAGUGAAGGGUAGAAACUACUCUUCUCUCUCACAGGAACGUGUAUAUACUGAGAAUUCUUGAGAGAAAUUCGUGGAGUUGAUGAAGAUGCUGUGGGGUUUCAACAACCACAAGGGUCUUUACUCAUGGUCUCUCUUCAUGGGCAUCAAAGGAAAACCUUAAGGAAAAUAAAAGGAGAGAGGAGCUGCUCAAUUAUAUUAAAUUUAGAUCA